CUGCUCUUUCCUAUUUUCUUUUUCUCUUUUGCUUCUUGCUUUAGCACUUAUAGCCUGCCAUUCUCAAGCAAGAGUUUAUCAGGAAGAAAAAAGUCACUUGAAAAGCAUCCUUAUGUUACACUACAGCAAGCCACUGCUACUGUGCAGCCUUGCAAAAGAAAUGUCAGUGAUGGUUUUAUAUCGCCUUUAUUUUCUUCCCUUCAGUGAUCUGGAAUGGUUUUAGUAAAUCAGAAGUAAUUUACAUGAAGUAGAAAAUAUUCCUUUUCAGCUGUGAAUGCUCUAAAAAAUCAGGAGUGGCUCCUAGUGUCUCCAAAUUGCAGGACAGCUGCAAUAGUCGCUCAGCUUUCUUGUCUUGACCAGAAACUGAAUUAGAAACGAGAGUCUAGAAAGUUUUCCUACUAAAACUGGGCACAUUCGAAGAGGUGGCUAUUUAGAAAAUUACUGUAUAUUAGGCAACAUGUAACGGAUCAUUAUAGGGGACCAUCGGCUCAUGAUGUCCCUUGCUCUGGAGCUUGGCAGCAAUGCUGGGUGGAUGACAGAAAUGCCCUGGGGCCAGGGACCGCCGGCACUGAGCGAGCACUGCCACAAAGCAGAUAAUUAAGAAGCCGCAGUGACAGACUUUCUGAACCACUGCUCCCGUCAUCUUGAACGUCAUUCUCAGUGACAUAGCUGUCCUCUUCCUGAUGCAGAAAAGGAGCAUAAUUUCUUCAGCUACGCUAUCCGCGCCUAUAGUAUAGUCAGCUGUACGGUACAUCAGCUACACUGACAGUGACAGGAGCGAGGGGGAGCCGGAGCCAUCCGGGGGCAUUCCCACCCCUCGGGUUCAAGCUCCCUGGAGCUGAUUCCCAGCAAAGCUGCUGAAACCUCAACACAGUCAGUGUUUUUCAGAGCGAGGAGGACUCGGCUCCUCUCCCCGCCGUGGGACAGACAGCAACUAUGGUCACGCUCCACUUUGUUGUGGAGAAUCUCUGGCAGAGGGAUGGUCUGUAAUGUAAAUUUUAGCCUUGGCUCUGAAAGGAGCCACGUGACGGCCUUGGGCACUUCACAUGGCCUGGAAUUGUUCUUGAAUUUUCACCAAAGGGUCACGUUGUGAAUGCUAGCUUGAGAUAUUUAAGUGUCUCUGUUUGCAUUUCCAUUUCUCCAGCUCCUUUCACAGCUGUUGUCCUAAAUGCGGAAGACCUGCAAAGAGGUGCUUAGCCCCAUGUUUCUGAGUCAUCCUAUUGACACUGAUGGUGAUGCUAGGCCCCAUCACAGCAGUGAAACAGAUGAGGAUGUCCGUCAGACCAGGGCUCUGCUACGACAAAGCUUUUUUUAAGGCAUCUCUUGCACCAAGAGACUUUUGCCACUUCAAGAAGUGUUCAAGAAGAGUUCAAGAAAAUUGGGAGGAGGCCAGCAAAAUCCAUCUUCUUGAUAUUCCCCAUAUUGCAAAACUAUUUUAGCUAUGGGUACCAUAAUAGCAGUGCUGGUAACUGUUUUGCUGGGAAUGCUGUUUGAGAAGGAUAACACAACUGGGAUAGACAGGCAUGUCUCAACAAAGAAAGAGAUUAGAAGGAAAUUGAAAUCUCGCCUAUUGGUAGCUAACUCCUCAUCCAUGAUUUCACCUCUUCUCCUCACUGUUUUUCCAGCUAGUAACUCCAGAAAUGAAACUACAGAGCUAUGGCAGUGUUUUGGAUCCCCUUGGCUAACAGAUAAGCUCUGACAAUAGAGAUAUAGUUGAAGAAAUUACUGCCUCCACAGCUAUGAACAUACUGCCAGCUGUUGCUCAGUUUGUCUCUUUUUGCACACUUUUGGGAUGAUCGUAAGUCAUUUUGGAUCUCAAGCGUGUCAUCAUUUUUCUGCCCCUUCUGCUGUUCAAGAUACAGGGAGUCUGGCAUUUUUCCAGAGAACUCCUGGAUUAUUGUGGAGCAAAAUGUGCCUAUGAAUUUUGGAGGGACUGGUACAUGGAAGCACAGCCCUGGUAGCAAGUAUUCUUAGUUUCAAACCUCUCAGAUGAGGACAAUAACAUACUUAUGAAGAAAAGCAAACCUGGGCACUUUAGUUAAGAAGAUGGGGAGAGGAGGUGACCCAGGCAGUCUUGUGUAGUUGGCUGCAAUAGUAUGCAAAGCUCUCAAGAAAAUUUUAAAUGAAAGGACGAAUAGUGGUCGAGAGGUGAACAGGAUAAAAUGAAACAUGACUUUACAAUGUUGGAUUGUGUCAGCCCAAUAGAGUCUUUGAGAAGCUAUUUCCUACACAAAGGAAACAUAUGUUUCCUUCCUGGGAAUUUCAGUUAAGCCUUUCCGUGGAGUCUUGUGGGAUGCAGUGAUGAGGAAGCUGUGAGACAACAGGGAUUAGGUGUGCACAGAGCUGGUGAAAAGGGAGAGAGCACUGCUGAGUGUUAGUAAGUACGUGGCGAGGAAGGAAUUCAUGAGCUGGGUGCUGCGAUGGCAGUGAAUAUGCUGGAUGGAAAUAACUGUGGAAGGGAAGGACCCUGGUGUAUAUGGUGGAUGUGCUGCUAAUGUGAUCUUAGAGUGGUCUGACGAGGUAUAUCCAGCAGAAAAGAGGGAAGCUUACUGCCCUGAUUCAAAGAUGUUUUUGAGAUUUUGUUUAAAUUUAGCUCAUGCUUCUGAUUGCCUAUAUUAAACAAAGACGGACUGAAACUGAAGGGUGUCCAGAUUGGUCAGAUUGAUGGAGAGCUUUGUGCUGGAAAGGAGCUGGGAAGUGGACACUGUGUUUAGUCUAGCAAAACAAAGCCUCAGAGGGGACCAAGACUGCUUCCUAUUAGCAGUGUAAAUACCAGAGGGGACACCGAUCAACACAUGGGACUAACCUAGCUGUAAAUGGAAAUAUGUGUUUCAAACAAGAAAGUGCUUCCUAACCGUGGAACAAAUUUCCUAACCAGAAAAAAGUUUCACAGUGGGAUUGGUCAAGCACUGGCACAGGUGCCCAGAGGCUGUUGAAUCUCCAUCCUUGGACGUGUGCAAAGCUUGACCGAAAGAGACACUGAGCAACUUGAUCUCACUUUAAACUGGAUGUUUAAAUAAGGGGGUGGCCUAGAUGACCUCCAGAGGUGCCUUCCAUCUGAAUGAUCCCAUGCUCCAUUAGAACAAAGAAACUCCUAGACACCUUUCACAGCAUAUUAGAAGCAAAAGGAAAGAAAGGAAAAGUCCUCAAACCCCAAAAUGCUGUUAAGGCAGACCUUUACAACAGGAUUAUUUUGUACAUGUAGGUGGUAGGCAGGAAAGAGACCUGAGGACCAGGGUGUUCUUUCCAGGCUAUGAAUCUUACAGGGAAGACAUGCAGGGACAAGACAGGACAUGUCUUGCCAUCUCUUUUAGUAUUUGGGUCUCACAGCUUAGCAGCAGCAAUGAUGCCUUCUCAGCAUUUUUUGAUACAGAGGAACUUGGCAAAUUAUUUAUUGGUUGCCUUUAUCACUCAUUUCCUCAAUAUAGUUUUCACAAGAUUCAGGGUAAUUUGCAGGAGAGCUGAGAAUGGCCAAGUAAUGAACAAAAAGAGGUUCUGAUGGUUGGGAAAAACCUUAUUUUUCAAUGAAAAAGAGUACAGCUGAGGCAGAAUGAGGGUAUAGAAAAGGAGUGGGGGGAAAGGAAAGAAUCAAAAGAGAAUUAAAGGGAAGAAGGAGAAAGAAGAGGUCGGGAGAAGUCCAGAUUUGCUAAAGAGAUUCACAAAAUUGAAUUUCUUUGGGAGGUCGAAGGGCACAGCCUCUCCUAAAUCAUUUAGAAAGUGAAAUGAAGUGGGGAAGCAAAAUUGACCUGGCUUUUCUUUUUUAAUCGUGGAAUUAUAGAGCUUGCAAAAGACGGGGCACUAGCCUGGGCAGUCAGCAACAACAAUUUCACUCGGCCUUCUCUCCCUAACUCCUCAUCUUCCCCAGUGAGCCUGUGCGAGUUGGUAGGACCAUCUCUAGGGGAAAGAGGCAAUUGAUUCAUCAGGCCCAUCCAUCCCUGAGACUAGCAAGAAACAUCCCUUUCUUGUUUGUAACUCAGUUUUCUGCCAAUGUCAUUCCACUGAAAUAAAUGCAGGCAAUUUGGCUUCUAGUCCAGUAGACCUACUAUUAACACAGAAACACAUGUGCGAGGACUGGGCUGAUACUUUACUGAGCUCAAUAGAAAUAUUAUAAUUGGAUGCCCAGGAAAAUAUAAUUUUUAAAAGUUUUUUUUUUUUUUACAUUGAAGUAGCAGGCAAAAAAUAAACAUACAAGGGACAACCUGAGUAGUUGAAAAGAUAUUUUCAUGUGAAAGGAUAUGUUAUUCACCACUUUUGUAUCUGAAAGGAAAAAUUUCUUAUGCUUUUGGUAAUCUGUAGAUUGAGUGACAAUUCUUGUUUCUGAUGCUAAAGAGGUACACAGUGGGUUGUGUGAUUUCCCGUGACUAAGGCUCAGCUUGCCCUAAGCUAUGUAUCUAAACCUUCACUGAGUCAUGAUGCAAUUCUCCUGGUAUGGCCAAUGGGUUGUACCCUAAAAAGCUGCAAGUCUUGGCAUCUAUAUACCUGCAAGGUGCAAGACAGCUAUACGUGCAAGAAGUGUACAGUUCUGCAUCCUCUCCCUGCAGCUUUUUUCUGAUUUUGCACAUAGAUGCACUGCUUCAGCCUUGCACUGAGAGCCAGGGUAUGUCUUUCUCUCUCCUGGUACCCUGCAAUCUGCUGCCUCUCAGGUGACAGUCUCCAUUGCAUGGGUGGCUCAGCGUGACUCAGGUCGCUUGCAGCACACACACCAGUAUCGCUGCUCUCAGCCUGUGUUGUGAGCUCUGCGCGCAUAACGCGUGUGUGUGGCAGGCCACGUACAGGGGGCCUGCUUGCUGAGGUGACAGAUGCCCUGGUCUCCCAGCACAGCCAUGGGCAGGGACACAGGUCUGAGCAUUGAAACAAAAACCUCCCCAGGAAAAAAAUUCAUUUGGAAAUGCCCUGUGUUUGUACCCUAGAGGCAGAUAACGGCGCAUAGGCUGGCAUCUCUCCAGUGGCUCAAAGACCCAGGGCAGUUACGCAUAUGCUGAAAGAAGACACGUCAUUCUGGGGAAGGCAUCAAGCACUUUCGGUUGGAGUGCCUGACACCAGAGGACACAGCAAUAGAGAAGUAUGCUAGCUUGGCAGCUGGACACUGCAAGAGAGGCCAAGUGAAAACUGAAAUGUGUCCAUGCUUGUACAAAAGAGGAAUUCUCAAAUGCUUUCUUCCACUUCUCUCACACGCUUGUUUCCUUUUUUCCACUAUGGUCAACACAGAGUAGCUGUCUCAUCAGCAAUAACCUCAAUCAGCUGCAGAUGUUUACCUCUGAUAAUGUCUCUACGUUGCACACAUUUCCUGUCAGGACAUGUUGUCUUUCUCACCACAGUUAUAGUUACGAGGACUGAUACUCUGAGUGGCUAAAAAUUUGCUUUGCAUCCUCUUCUGAACCCUCCAGUCUUUGAGGAUCACCUCUUGAAUACAUCCUUGCUACUACCCCUUCCAAUAUCUCCUUUCAGCUUUAGGAGCGCUUAGUCACAAGUGGUCUCUGGAUCUAUCUCCUGCAGUGUGGUUUCUGCGUCUAUCUCCUGCUUUGGAUCCGAAAGAUCUUCCCCGAUCUAAUCCACCUUUCCCAGGUGGACUGGCUGUCCUUCUCCACUCCUGAGCCCUCUGGCUGUGGCUUGUCUGUCUUAGUGGAGGAUGCAAUGUAGCGUGAAGACAGUGCUGCUGCAGUGCACCCAAAAACCAGUGAAAGGAAAGCUGUACUAGCUCCGACAUGCCAAGGACUCCUCUGCAGGGGCUUGAAUCCAGUGCUGGACCUGACUACCACUGCCUUGCAAAGACCAGUGCCACCUCUGGAGGCAAGUUCACAAGAACUAUUUCCUGGACUUUCUUAGAGUUGCUAGAACAUGUCCCUCUACCCCUCACUCCGCAAAAAAGACCCACUUCACGCCCUGCAUUGAAUGGAUCUUACCUUGACAAACAUUUUCAUUGCCUUCUGCUUUGGACUCAAAGAUGCAAAUAACAUACAGGAGCCGUGGUGAAAAGUCAGUUAAGUAAAUGUGCGCUUUACUACUGCUCCAAAAUGGAAAGAAAAAUACCCUCCCCAUCCCUUAGGACAAAAUGGUAGUGAGAGUGCAG
This is a long non-coding RNA of Harpia harpyja (harpy eagle), 6070 nucleotides long. RefSeq lists it as uncharacterized. The transcript is spliced from 3 exons. NCBI's taxonomy places the organism in Eukaryota, Metazoa, Chordata, Aves, Accipitriformes, Accipitridae. The record is from RefSeq and is a predicted model, not a curated record.